UAAUUCCUACGGGGGGCAGCAGUGGGGAAUAUUGCACAAUGGGCGAAAGCCUGAUGCAGCAACGCCGCGUGAAGGAAGACGGUUUUCGGAUUGUAAACUUCUAUCAAUAGGGAAGAAAGAAAUGACGGUACCUAAAUAAGAAGCCCCGGCUAACUACGUGCCAGCAGCCGCGGUAAUACGUAGGGGGCAAGCGUUAUCCGGAUUUACUGGGUGUAAAGGGAGCGUAGACGGCGCGGCAAGUCUGAAGUGAACGGCAGGGGCUUAACCCCUGACCUGCUUUGGAAACUGCCUUGCUAGUGUGCUGG
This 305-nucleotide ribosomal RNA is filed under the name uncultured bacterium. RNAcentral describes it as "bacterial SSU rRNA". It matches the Rfam family "Bacterial small subunit ribosomal RNA", at positions 333 to 652 of the family's 1533-position model. The record is from RNAcentral.